CGGUACNGCCAAGAGAUCGGGAUAACACCUGGAAACAGAUGCUAAUACCGGAUAACAACAGAUGAUGCCUAUCAACUGUUUAAAAGAUGGUUCUGCUAUCACUCUUGGAUGGACCUGCGGUGCAUUAGCUAGUUGGUAGGGUAACGGCCUACCAAGGCGAUGAUGCAUAGCCGAGUUGAGAGACUGAUCGGCCACAUUGGGACUGAGACACGGCCCAAACUCCUACGGGAGGCAGCAGAG
This 240-nucleotide ribosomal RNA is filed under the name uncultured Lactobacillus sp. Its description in RNAcentral is "partial 16S ribosomal RNA". It matches the Rfam family "Bacterial small subunit ribosomal RNA", at positions 119 to 354 of the family's 1533-position model. The record is from RNAcentral. Lineage: Bacteria; Bacillati; Bacillota; Bacilli; Lactobacillales; Lactobacillaceae.